Dermacentor albipictus is the source of this 1617-nucleotide long non-coding RNA. RefSeq lists it as uncharacterized. The record is from RefSeq and is a predicted model, not a curated record. Lineage: Eukaryota; Metazoa; Arthropoda; Arachnida; Ixodida; Ixodidae.
UAUAUCACCGGUGGCAGACGGAUUCACGCGGAAUUUUAAGAUCGAGCACGAACUGUAUGCGCCGACUGCCGUUGUAGCUAAGAUAAGCGGCGUCGUUUUAACUAUGGUCGUCACUACUGCAAGCCUAGCAGUGGGCCCAAAGGAUGCUUGUUUAAAUAACCUUACCUUCUUCGAUAUCGCUCGCUGCUGAGCCUUCUUCGGCGCGUCACCAGCGAAUGACUGAACUUAUCACGACUGCCAUAGUUGUCAACUUCUUGGUUCCCUUGGUGUCGACGGCGUGCCCCUCUCAAGCUGUCGUCAGUGACACUACCGUGGCCAAACUUCUCGAGAUUUUCCGGAAUCAAGAUGGACAUCGCAUCGAUCUACAAGGGGUUUCGGGCCAUGUCCGCCACUAUGUGUACGAUGACGUCGCAGCGUCGAAAUUCAAAGUGUCACGACUGAUCAGCCAUCCUCAGUUUCGGCGCUACUGCCUUGCUGGUAGAGAUGACAUCGUGGAAGUCGACUGCACUUUUUCUGCCAAAGUAUCGGCACUAUGGUGGCGACGAGGCAACAGUGGUUCAUUCGAUGCCCACAUCCAAGGCGUCGGAAUGGUGGUUCACUACGUCAUUGGCCACAGCGAAAGCGAUGGAAGCGCGUGGCUGUGCACUAACAAUGUCGACGUCAGUGGCGUGGGACGUCCCAAUGUUACAAUAAGAGUAUAUGACGGAAACCUCGACGUGUCAACGAUAGAAGCAUCUCGCAAAAUGCUGGAAAUGGAGGAACCGCGCCUUAUCAGAAAAAUCAAGGCAGUCCUUAGACGCAAAGUUCUUGCCUGUGGUGGCGAUAUGCCGUGGCACGAGCAAAAUUUGCAGGAAAAAUACGUCGUGCGCCGGAUUGCUCUUCAACAGCGCUUUGUUUAGUUCGGCUGUUGAACCCGCUGUCAUUCUAGAAACGCAGUUGUGGUAGGUUUCAUAACUAAAGACAUUCGGUGAAGUUCCUCUCUAAACAAGAGGAAGGUUUACAGAUCUCUCGUGCGAAAAACUUUCGAACAGAGUUCGCAAGUAAGGACCCUUAGGUCCACUGACUCACCGUUUAGGCACUCCAGCCAAAGCUUACGAGGGCGUCUGUGGCUGAUGGCAUUUUAGUGUAACCAGCGACAGCAAGUUCCGAGAUCCGAGCAGAGGGAAAAUACAGUACUGCAAUUUUGAUUUAUCAAUUUAUCCGCUUGCCCGAAGAUACUUAUUUCACAUUUAUGGCAUACUAGAGCCUUUCAUGACUUUGAGUUUUGCAUUGCAUAGAAUUUUAACUUCACUACUAAGUUGCUCUAAUCACAGUAUCACGACCCUCUGAACUCGGCUGAAGAGCGCCGAGAAUGCUGUGGUUUUGUUGGAUGAACCUGCUUGUGCACGCGGUCCAGAAAUCGAAUGGUGUGCCGAGGCGUCUAGGGAGGCGACCUGGUCGGGCGCCUGCGGGCAUCUUAAAGAGUUAAUAUAAGCCUAGCAUGGGCGUGGCUCGUCGCAACCUCCUGCAUCUGCUCACGUGUACCUGGAAGUGGGGAGCAAGCUGGGGAAGUAUGGUGAUGCACUGGGGUUCCAUCGCAGCUAAGCGACCUCAAUAAAAAGAGAAGAGGCAUGCAGA